UACACACACGCUACAAUGGGAAGGGACAAUAGGUUGCGAAGCCGCGAGGCGGAGCCAAUCCAGCAAAACUUCCCUCAGUUCAGAUUGCAGGCUGCAACUCGCCUGCAUGAAGUUGGAGUUGCUAGUAAACGCAGGUCAGCCAUACUGCGUUGAAUACGUUCCCGGGGCUU
RNAcentral lists this ribosomal RNA (170 nucleotides) under uncultured Anaerolineaceae bacterium. RNAcentral describes it as "partial 16S ribosomal RNA". It matches the Rfam family "Bacterial small subunit ribosomal RNA", at positions 1215 to 1382 of the family's 1533-position model. The record is from RNAcentral. Lineage: Bacteria; Bacillati; Chloroflexota; Anaerolineae; Anaerolineales; Anaerolineaceae.